CGCAUGCCUGGGGGUGGAAAGCUCCGGCGGUGCAGGAUGAGCCCGCGGCCUAUCAGCUUGUUGGUGGGGUGAUGGCCUACCAAGGCGACGACGGGUAGCCGGCCUGAGAGGGCGACCGGCCACACUGGGNCUGAGACACGGCCCAGACUCCUACGGGAGGCAGCAGUGGGGAAUAUUACACAAUGGGCGUAAGCCUGAUGCAGCGACGCCGCGUGAGGGAUGACGGCCUUCGGGUUGUAAACCUCUUUCAGCAGGGAAGAAGCUCCUUGGGGUGACGGUACCUGCAGAAGAAGCGCCGGCUAACUACGUGCCAGCAGNCGCGGUAAUACGUAGGGCGCAAGCGUUGUCCGGAAUUAUUGGGCGUAAAGAGCUCGUAGGCGGCUUGUCGCGUCGGAUGUGAAAGCCCGGGGCUUAACCCCGGGUCUGCAUUCGAUACGGGCAGGCUGAGUUCGGUAGGGGAGAUCGGAAUUCCUGGUGUAGCGGUGGAAUGCGCAGAUAUCAGGAGGAACACCGGUGGCGAAGGCGGAUCUCUGGGCCGAUACUGACGCUGAGGAGCGAAAGCGUGGGGAGCGAACAGGAUUAGAUACCCUGGUAGUCCACGCCGUAAACGGUGGGCACUAGGUGUGGGCGGCAUUCCACGUCGUCCGUGCCGUAGCUAACGCAUUAAGUGCCCCGCCUGGGGAGUACGGCCGCAAGGCUAAAACUCAAAGAAAUUGACGGGGGCCCGCACAAGCGGCGGAGCAUGUGGCUUAAUUCGACGCAACGCGAAGAACCUUACCAAGGCUNGACAUACGCCGGAAAACCGUGGAGACACGGUCCCCCUUGUGGUCGGUGUACAGGUGGUGCAUGGCUGUCGUCAGCUCGUGUCGUGAGAUGUUGGGUUAAGUCCCGCAACGAGCGCAACCCUUGUCCUGUGUUGCCAGCACGCCCUUCGGGGUGGUGGGGACUCACGGGAGACU
This 959-nucleotide ribosomal RNA is filed under the name uncultured Streptomyces sp. Its description in RNAcentral is "bacterial SSU rRNA". It matches the Rfam family "Bacterial small subunit ribosomal RNA", at positions 187 to 1150 of the family's 1533-position model. The record is from RNAcentral. Lineage: Bacteria; Bacillati; Actinomycetota; Actinomycetes; Kitasatosporales; Streptomycetaceae.